UAGGGAAUCUUCGGCAAUGGACGAAAGUCUGACCGAGCAACGCCGCGUGAGUGAAGAAGGUUUUCGGAUCGUAAAACUCUGUUGUUAGAGAAGAACAAGGACGUUAGUAACUGAACAUCCCCUGACGGUAUCUAACCAGAAAGCCACGGCUAACUACGUGCCAGCAGCCGCGGUAAUACGUAGGUGGCAAGCGUUGUCCGGAUUUAUUGGGCGUAAAGCGAGCGCAGGCGGUUUCUUAAGUCUGAUGUGAAAGCCCCCGGCUCAACCGGGGAGGGUCAUUGGAAACGGGGAGACUUGAGUGCAGAAGAGGAGAGUGGAAUUCCAUGUGUAGCGGAGAAAUGCGUAGAUAUAUGGAGGAACACCAGUGGAGAAGGCGGCUCUCUGGUCUGUAACUGACGCUGAGGCUAGAAAGCGUGGGGAGCAAACAGG
Molecule: ribosomal RNA, 429 nt
Filed under: Gemmatimonadota bacterium
Lineage: Bacteria; Pseudomonadati; Gemmatimonadota
Description: Gemmatimonadetes bacterium partial 16S ribosomal RNA
Rfam family: Bacterial small subunit ribosomal RNA
Source: RNAcentral